RNAcentral lists this ribosomal RNA (320 nucleotides) under uncultured bacterium. RNAcentral's name for it is "bacterial SSU rRNA". It matches the Rfam family "Bacterial small subunit ribosomal RNA", at positions 567 to 869 of the family's 1533-position model. The record is from RNAcentral.
CGGCCGCGUCGACCGCAGGUGGCAGUUCAAGUCUGCUGUCAAAGACCGGGGCUUAACUUCGGAAAGGCAGUGGAAACUGAACAGCUAGAGUAUGGUAGGGGCAGAGGGAGUUCCUGGUGUAGCGGUGAAAUGCGUAGAUAUAUGGAGGAACACCGGUGGCGAAAGCGGCUCUCUGGUCUGUAACUGACGCUGAGGCUCGAAAGCGUGGGGAGCGAACAGGAUUAGAUACCCUGGUAGUCCACGCCGUAAACGAUGAGUGCUAGGUGUUGGAUCCUUUCCGGGAUUCAGUGCCGCAGCUAACGCAUUAAGCACUCCGCCUG